Collariella sp. IMI 366227 is the source of this 74-nucleotide non-coding RNA. The record is from the annotation of a GenBank genome assembly. NCBI's taxonomy places the organism in Eukaryota, Fungi, Ascomycota, Sordariomycetes, Sordariales, Chaetomiaceae.
GGUCGAAUGGUGUAGUUGGUCAUCACGUCAGUCUAACACACUGAAGGUCUCCAGUUCAAACCUGGAUUCGAUCA